RNAcentral lists this long non-coding RNA (209 nucleotides) under Physcomitrium patens. Its description in RNAcentral is "long non-coding RNA (PPAT_LNC014843)". The record is from RNAcentral. Lineage: Eukaryota; Viridiplantae; Streptophyta; Bryopsida; Funariales; Funariaceae.
ACCUCUUCUUCAUCUCUACAUAUUCUUGCAUCAAUAGCAUGACUCAUUCCAGUUUCGCUCAUUAAUUGCCUCUUUCGCUUAAUGCUGUCAAUGAUAACAUCAUGAAACUCCUUCUUUACAAUUCUCAAGACUUCUUUCAAUGUGAAUUCCACCUUAGCGUUUAAUAUACGUUCUUCCAACACCCCUUUCAAAUUUGUUGCCGCUUCAAU